GAUGAACGCUGGCGGCGUGCCUAAUACAUGCAAGUCGAGCGAACAGAUGAGGAGCUUGCUCCUCUGACGUUAGCGGCGGACGGGUGAGUAACACGUGGAUAACCUACCUAUAAGACUGGGAUAACUUCGGGAAACCGGAGCUAAUACCGGAUAAUAUAUUGAACCGCAUGGUUCAAUAGUGAAAGACGGUUUUGCUGUCACUUAUAGAUGGAUCCGCGCCGCAUUAGCUAGUUGGUAAGGUAACGGCUUACCAAGGCAACGAUGCGUAGCCGACCUGAGAGGGUGAUCGGCCACACUGGAACUGGGACACGGUCCAGACUCCUACGGGAGGCAGCAGUAGGGAAUCUUCCGCAAUGGGCGAAAGCCUGACGGAGCAACGCCGCGUGAGUGAUGAAGGUCUUCGGAUCGUAAAACUCUGUUAUUAGGGAAGAACAAAUGUGUAAGUAACUAUGCACGUCUUGACGGUA
RNAcentral lists this ribosomal RNA (467 nucleotides) under uncultured bacterium. Its description in RNAcentral is "bacterial SSU rRNA". It matches the Rfam family "Bacterial small subunit ribosomal RNA", at positions 28 to 477 of the family's 1533-position model. The record is from RNAcentral.